UGGGGAAUUUUACGCAAUGGGCGAAAGCCUGACGUAGCGACACCGCGUGAGCGAAGAAGCCCUUUGGGGUGUAAAGCUCUGUCAGCAGGGACGAAACUAUGACGGUACCUGCAGAGGAAGCAUCGGCUAACUACGUGCCAGCAGCCGCGGUAAGACGUAGGAUGCAAGCGUUGUCCGGAUUCAUUGGGCGUAAAGAGUUCGUAGGCGGUUUGUUAAGUCUGGUGUAAAAGGCUCGGGCCCAACCCGGGUAUAGCACUGGAUACUGGCAGACUGGAGUGCAGUAGAGGCGAGUGGAAUUCCCAGUGUAGCGGUGAAAUGCGUAGAUAUUGGGAAGAACACCGGUGGCGCAGGCGACUCGCUGGGCUGUAACUGACGCUGAGGAACGAAAGCUAGGGGAGCAAAUGGGAUUAGAUACCCCUGUAGUCC
RNAcentral lists this ribosomal RNA (426 nucleotides) under uncultured bacterium. RNAcentral's name for it is "bacterial SSU rRNA". It matches the Rfam family "Bacterial small subunit ribosomal RNA", at positions 355 to 796 of the family's 1533-position model. The record is from RNAcentral.